Molecule: transfer RNA, 72 nt
Filed under: Marmota monax (woodchuck)
Lineage: Eukaryota; Metazoa; Chordata; Mammalia; Rodentia; Sciuridae
Description: tRNA.Ala
Source: RNAcentral
UGGGGUGUGUCUCAGUGGUAGAGCACACGCUUAGCACAUGUGAGGCAUAGGGUUCAAUCCUCAGCACCACAU